GCCAGCAUGGUAUAGUGGUUUGAGCAUUGGACUACAACUCUGGAGACCAGGGGUCAAAUCUCUGCUUUGCCA
This is a non-coding RNA of Phrynosoma platyrhinos (Desert horned lizard), 72 nucleotides long. Lineage: Eukaryota; Metazoa; Chordata; Lepidosauria; Squamata; Phrynosomatidae. The record is from the annotation of a GenBank genome assembly.